This 253-nucleotide ribosomal RNA is filed under the name uncultured bacterium. RNAcentral's name for it is "partial 16S ribosomal RNA". It matches the Rfam family "Bacterial small subunit ribosomal RNA", at positions 524 to 776 of the family's 1533-position model. The record is from RNAcentral.
UACGGGGGGUGCUAGCGUCGUUCGGAAUCACUGGGCGUAAAGCGUACGUAGGCGGUUAUGCAAGUCAGUGGUGAAAACCCGUGGCUCAACCUGAGAAAUGCCUGUGAUACUGCAUGUCUAGAGUCCGAGAGAGGUGAGAGGAAUUCCUAGAGUAGAGGUGAAAUUCGUAGAUACUAGGAAGAACACCAGUGGCGAAGGCGUGUUACUGGAUCGGUACUGACGCUGAGGUGCGAAAGCGAGGGGAGCAAAUAGG